CUUGAAAAGUGCCUACCCCUGGCCUGGGAUGCUUCCUCCUGGGAUGCUCCCACUUGGAACCCAACUAUUGUGCUGCAGAAGUUUAACUUAACUGUGUAAGGAGGCCAAGAGGAGGCCCUGGCUGCCAGCCAGCAUCAACUUCCAGUGACGUGAGUGUGCCAUUCUGGAACUGGAUCCUGCAGCCUCGGUGGAGCAGCCUCAGCUGAUGCCAUGUGGAACAGAGAUGAACUGCCGCUGCCGAGCUCUGCCCACGUUGCAGAAUCAUGAGCAAAUAUGUUGUGGAUUGGCUGUAACUCUGCUCUGGGAUCCAGGCUGAAGGAGCAGGCUCUAUCUGGAACAUUACUAGUCUCCAGGCAGAAGAAAAAGAGACAAUGGAAUGGAUGAUUGAAUGGAUGAAUGAACUCCACAGGAAGAUGAGGAAAGCCUUUAUGGAUGGAGUGAGCUUGCAGCAGAGUCUCAAAGGGUGAGUAGAGUUUUCCAGGUAGGGAAGUGUGUGGGUGAGUAGUCCAGAUCGAGUCAAAGGUAUGGGAGCAAGGAACGGCCUGGUGCAUUCCAGAAGUGUUGAUAAUGUCACUGGCUGACUCGGAGGGUGUGAAGGGGAGGAGAAGGAGGGAAGGCUAGAGAGGGAAGGUAGAAAGGAAGUGGAGGCGAAAAAAGAUGCUGAAGGGCCUCCUGUACCUCCAGGAAGAGUUUGAAUGUUAUCAUUUGGGCAAUGGGAAGCUAUUCCUGGGUCUUCACAAGGGAAUCAGUUGGUGAGAACUGCUGUUUAGAAAGACAGCCCUGGCAGCAACUCAAGCGCUGGGAGAGGACAGAACCACCAGGGAAGAGGGUAUGGGGAAGAAGAGCAGCAGGCUGAGGACAGGCCCAGGACUGAAGAAUCAGGCACAGGAAGAAGAGUCCAUGGGGCAGGCUGUGAAAUGGACAAAGGAAAACCAGAGGUGCUUCCCAAGCAGGGGGCCUGGCCACCAGAGUCCCAAGCUACCAAGAUGUCAAGUAAAGAAGAACUGAAAGCCAACUGCUGGAUGCAGCAGUGAGUGGGGGUCACAGUGGCCUUUGCCAGAACUGUUCCAGUGGAGGAGUAGAGGAAGAGAGAAAACCACAGGAGCAGGCAUCGCAAGCUCAUGCUCCACCCACACGUCCCCUUUCUCCUUUAGUCCUGUGACCCAUGUGCUUGCUCUCUUUCUCUCUCAAAGGAGAUCCAAAUUUAAAAAUAUGGAGCCAAGGGAAUCAGUUCCUUUGCGAACACACUGAACGUUAGUUUUCUUCUUCUCUUUUGCAAAAACUUCUUAUUUCACAAAAUACUCAAACAAAUAGACAAAGUACAGUGAAGUCCAGGUAGAUAUCAUCCACCUUCAGCAAUGAUCAAUCCAUGGCCAAUCUUUCAUCUCAACACUCGUAUCCUCAUUCUUGUGGAGCAAAUGCCAGACAUUCUUUCAUCCAUCAGUAUGUCAAUAUGUAUCUCUGAAAUAGAAGGACUUUUUAUAAAACAUAAUCAUAAUAUAAUUAAUAUU
Molecule: long non-coding RNA, 1511 nt
Filed under: Homo sapiens (human)
Lineage: Eukaryota; Metazoa; Chordata; Mammalia; Primates; Hominidae
Description: HSALNT0382880
Source: RNAcentral